This 406-nucleotide ribosomal RNA is filed under the name uncultured bacterium. Its description in RNAcentral is "partial 16S ribosomal RNA". It matches the Rfam family "Bacterial small subunit ribosomal RNA", at positions 30 to 526 of the family's 1533-position model. The record is from RNAcentral.
AUUGAACGCUGGCGGCAGGCCUAACACAUGCAAGUCGAACGAGUGGCGGACGGGUGAGUAAUGUCUGGGAAACUGCCUGAUGGAGGGGGAUAACUACUGGAAACGGUAGCUAAUACCGCAUACCAUCAGAUGUGCCCAGAUGGGAUUAGCUAGUGGGUGGGGUAAUGGCUCACCUAGGCGACGAUCCCUAGCUGGUCUGAGAGGAUGACCAGCCACACGGGAACUGAGACACGGUCCAGACUCCUACGGGAGGCAGCAGUGGGGAAUAUUCGGCAAUGGACGAAAGCCUGAUGCAGCAAUGCCGCGUGAAUGAAGAAGGCUUUCGGGUCGUAAAGCUCUUUUGUCAGGGAGGCGGUAUCUAACGAAAAAGCAACGGCUAACUCCGUGCCAGCAGCCGCGGUAAUUC